CCUACGGGAGGCAGUAGUGAGGAAUAUUGGUCAAUGGGCGCAAGCCUGAACCAGCCAAGUCGCGUGAGGGAUGACGGUCCUAUGGAUUGUAAACCUCUUUUGCCGGGGAGCAAGGCCCGCCACGCUUGGCGGGAAGGAGAGUACCCGAAGAAAAAGCAUCGGCUAACUCCGUGCCAGCAGCAGCGGUAAUACGGAGGAUGCGAGCGUUACCCGGAUUUAGUGGGUUUAAAGGGUGCGUAGGCGGAAGGUUAAGUCAGCGGUAAAAUGUCGGUGCUCAACACCGGCCUGCCGUUGAAACUGGUCUUCUUGAGUGAGCGAGAAGUAUGCGGAAUGCGUGGUGUAGCGGUGAAAUGCAUAGAUAUCACGCAGAACUCCGAUUGCGAAGGCAGCGUACCGGCGCUCAACUGACGCUGAGGCACGAAAGCGUGGGGAUCGAACAGGAUUAGAUACCCUUGUAGUC
RNAcentral lists this ribosomal RNA (460 nucleotides) under uncultured bacterium. RNAcentral's name for it is "partial 16S ribosomal RNA". It matches the Rfam family "Bacterial small subunit ribosomal RNA", at positions 338 to 795 of the family's 1533-position model. The record is from RNAcentral.